CAGUCGCCACGGUAAUACGGAGGGGGCUAGCGUUGUUCGGAAUUACUGGGCGUAAAGCGCACGUAGGCGGCUUGGUAAGUUAGAGGUGAAAGCCUGGAGCUCAACUCCGGAAUUGCCUUUAAGACUGCCGAGCUAGCAGGUGAGAGAGGUAAGUGGAAUUCCGAGUGUAGAGGUGAAAUUCGUAGAUAUUCGGAAGAACACCAGUGGCGAAGGCGGCUUACUGGCUCAUACUGGACGCUGAGGUGCGAAAGCGUGGGGAGCAAACAGGAUUAGAUACCCCUGUAGUCCCUGUCUCUUAUAC
This 301-nucleotide ribosomal RNA is filed under the name uncultured bacterium. RNAcentral describes it as "partial 16S ribosomal RNA". It matches the Rfam family "Bacterial small subunit ribosomal RNA", at positions 509 to 807 of the family's 1533-position model. The record is from RNAcentral.